RNAcentral lists this transfer RNA (74 nucleotides) under Gossypium hirsutum (cotton). Its description in RNAcentral is "tRNA-Trp". The record is from RNAcentral. Lineage: Eukaryota; Viridiplantae; Streptophyta; Magnoliopsida; Malvales; Malvaceae.
UGAUACUAGAUGCAUGCAAGAUGUAGUGAAGGUACAAAAAUCAUCCUUUUCUUUACAAUUGUAUCCACUGUGAU